GUCUAUGGCCAUGCCACCCUGAACAAGCCCGAUUCCAUCUGAUCUCAGAAGCUAAGCAGGGUCAAGCCUGGUUAGUACUUGGAUGGGAGACUACCCAUAAAUAAUAAUAAUAAUAAAGG
RNAcentral lists this ribosomal RNA (119 nucleotides) under Pteropus alecto (black flying fox). Lineage: Eukaryota; Metazoa; Chordata; Mammalia; Chiroptera; Pteropodidae. The record is from RNAcentral. RNAcentral also lists the same sequence under 1 other name.